AUUGAACGCUGGCGGCAUGCCUUACACAUGCAAGUCGAACGGCAGCACGGGAGCAAUCCUGGUGGCGAGUGGCGAACGGGUGAGUAAUAUAUCGGAACGUGCCCGGUCGUGGGGGAUAACGUAGCGAAAGCUACGCUAAUACCGCAUACGAUCUACGGAUGAAAGCGGGGGAUCGCAAGACCUCGCGCGAUUGGAGCGGCCGAUAUCAGAUUAGGUAGUUGGUGAGGUAAAGGCUCACCAAGCCGACGAUCUGUAGCUGGUCUGAGAGGACGACCAGCCACACUGGGACUGAGACACGGCCCAGACUCCUACGGGAGGCAGCAGUGGGGAAUAUUGGACAAUGGGCGAAAGCCUGAUCCAGCAAUGCCGCGUGAGUGAUGAAGGCCUCGGUUGUAAC
This 397-nucleotide ribosomal RNA is filed under the name uncultured bacterium. Its description in RNAcentral is "bacterial SSU rRNA". It matches the Rfam family "Bacterial small subunit ribosomal RNA", at positions 30 to 429 of the family's 1533-position model. The record is from RNAcentral.